Molecule: RNA transcript, 1605 nt
Organism: Notothenia coriiceps (black rockcod)
Lineage: Eukaryota; Metazoa; Chordata; Actinopteri; Perciformes; Nototheniidae
Gene: slc10a1
Gene name: solute carrier family 10 member 1
Exons: 6
Source: RefSeq, a predicted model, not a curated record
AUACCGACCAUGUUGCCAUGAGUCCAUGUGACAGCGAGGGGAGGGCACAGGGGCCAAAAGGAGUUAGGCACAAGAAUGUGAGGAGGAGAGAUGGAAACAAGAGUGAGAGUGAGUACAGCAAAGUUACCGAAGCUGGCUUGAAAUUAAGGUGAGAGCCGCAGCCCAGCCGUGUUGGGAUGAGCGCCACAAUGAACGCCACAUUAGUCUACAAGGGAAUAACUGACAUUUACAAUGAGGCAAACGUCUCUGGCAAUGGAAGUGUGAUGGGUGUCUUGAACAUCCCCCCUUCCCUAAACAAAGCCAUCAACAUCCUCUUGGUCGGCAUCCUCUUCAUCACCAUGAUAUCUCUUGGCUGUACGAUGAAGAUUUCCAAAAUAAAGGCCCAUCUCUUUAAGCCAAAAGGAGUAUCCAUUGCUCUGCUGGCCCAGUUCGGCAUCAUGCCCCUGACUGCUUUCUCUCUAGCCAAAAUCCUGCAGAUGGAACCCAUCAAGGCUGUGACUGUGCUCAUCUGCGGCUGCUGUCCAGGGGGAAGCCUUUCCAACAUUUUCUCCCUGGCUAUGAAGGGUGACAUGAACCUCAGCAUCGUGAUGACCACCUGCUCCUGCAUCGCUGCUCUGGGUCUGAUGCCGUUGCUGCUCUAUAUCUACUGCCAAGGUUUUGACGGUCUGGAAGAUGCCGUACCGUACGUCGGCAUCAUCUCUGCUCUCGCUCUCACCCUGGUGCCUUGUGCCAUUGGCAUAGCCAUAAACCACUACAAACCCAAAUACUCACCGUUCAUCAAGAAAGCUGGUCUCGGCAUCCUGCCAGUUGCAGCUGUCCUAGUGUGCGGUCUGUCUUAUUUCGUCAGCAAAGACGUGGUAUGGCUCGUCCUCACACCGGAUGUGCUGACCGUGGGGGCUCUGAUGCCUCUGAUUGGAUUUACGCUGGGAUAUAUGAUGUCUAUGAUAUGCAGACUCAGUCCAAAAUGCUGAACAACUGGUCCAUGCCUUCGUCUCCUCAAGGCUCGAUUACUGCAACGCUCUCCUCAUCGGGACUCCUAGCGGGAGCCCUCAGAAGCUCCAAUACGUACAGAUCAGUGACGCCAGGAUCCUGAUGAGGGUGAGAAAAUACAACCACAUCACACCCGUUCUUUAUUCCCUCCACUGGCUUCCUGUCUCAUUCAGGAUCGAAUACAAGAUCGCACUACUGACCCAUCAAUGCAUCCACGGGAACGCUCCUCCAUACCUGAAGGAACUUCUCACAUCACAAACCUCCACACGCAACCUCCGCUCCACAACCAACCAUCGGCUUCGCCCCCCGAGGACCAAACUCCGCACGAAGGGGGGAUCGGGCUUUCUGUGCAGCUGCUCCUCACCUGUGGAAUUCCCUCCCAGACCACCUGAGGACUCCACAGACCAUGGACGCCUUCAUGAAAGGCCUAAAAACCUUUUUUAUAAAAAAAAGCCUUUGAUUAAACUUUUGUUUGUUUUUAUUAUGCCUCCUUUAGCACCUUGGGAUUGCUGUUAGCAAUGAAAGAUGCAGCAGGACAGUCUCCAUGGAAACAGGGUGUCAAAACAUCCAGCUGUGCACUGCCAUCCUUAAAGUGGCCUUUUCGCCCCAGGUCAU